ACGACCAAGAGAUGAUGUUGAGUC
This 24-nucleotide non-coding RNA is filed under the name Arabidopsis thaliana (thale cress). The record is from RNAcentral. Lineage: Eukaryota; Viridiplantae; Streptophyta; Magnoliopsida; Brassicales; Brassicaceae.